GUAACACUGAUUGAACAAGAGAUUAGCACAAUAGAUCUCUAACCGAGGGGAAGCUUGCUUUUCACGCUACGCGCCGUAAUUAAUGGUAUGAAUCAAUUAAUUUGACUUUUAUUGUGUCGAAGGAAAAAAGCGCAACAAAUGGAACUGGCGGCUGGGAGUUGUUCACCACCACCCCCCCUUUCCCCCAGGGAGGCUACUUCAAGAAGACCGCGCAGGACUGCCCCCCGGGGCCGCCACCCUCCCGCGCGCGCACACGUGCACGCGUCCACGCAGGCCCGGCCUCCUAGGCCGCGGUGGGCCUCGUGCUGCGGCCCGCGCCUGCCUCCGGGCUGAACAACCGAAGCUGAGCAAAGGAAAUUCAGAAUUUGUCAAUUUCGGUUGGUUUGUUUUGUCCUUCCGACCUUCCUUUUGUAUAAUUACUGGAUUCCUCGCACAGUUGCAGCCGCGGCCUCGGCAGCCGGGGGGCGAUGGGCAGCCAGCUCGCCGCUCCAGUCGGUUUCGCGGGAGGCUGUGUAGACGGCGAUGGGAGCGGUUCGGAGCCCGCGGGCCACAAAGCGGUGCAGCUGCGGGAAUCAACCCAGAUGCAUUUAGGGUCAGGUGCAACCGGGGGAUCAUUCAGAUACAGAAAAUCCUUGGAGUUUCGCCGGCAUCUCAGGAUGGAGUAACUGCCCCCACCCUCCCCCCUUCCUCAACCAGGAACCUCUUGCGAAGUGGGGAUCCAUCCAAUGGGCUAGUGUUAUAUCCUGGAAAUUAUCUAAUGGAGAUGAAAGUCAAUCCGUGGGUCUCACUGCCUAUAAGGAAGUAAGUUUUCGGGUUUUAUUUUUUUUGGUGUGUGUAGGCCAAGGAAAGAGGGUGUCGUAGGUGAGAGAGACACAGACUGAGGGAACCAGAGGCACCACUGUCCACGAGCAUUUACACCAGUUUCCUAGUGUCGUCUUGCGUACCCCACUAUUUUCUCUCGGACCGCCCCCGUUGUGCUCCGUCCUCUGGUGAGGCCGCGCGAAAAAUACACAGAUAUAAAAACCCGCCCCAUCGAGCCGGGAAAGCCGAGGCAGGACCGGGGGCUGGGUCUCGGGGUUGGGGGGGGGGGGAGAGGAGCGGCGCCCUCAGUGGGGUCUCCGCCGAGGAAGCACGGAGGCAGGAGGGGGUCUGAAGUCUAACCAGCGAGACGGAGCCGGGCGCGCAGCCCGGACUCUCUAGAGCUACAAAGAAUCAAAAGCAACAGAACAGAGACUACUAAGUUUUUCUUUUUUAAAAAAUGGGAUGGGAGUCUCGUCCCACGUCGCCCAGUCCCUGUCUAAGGAGUGCUGGCAGGGGGCGGGGGCGGGGGGACGGGGAGGGCCGCGGGGUCCGGCCGGCGCUCCGGGGCCC
This 1371-nucleotide long non-coding RNA is filed under the name Equus caballus (horse). Its description in RNAcentral is "lncRNA (ENSECAG00000049735.1)". Lineage: Eukaryota; Metazoa; Chordata; Mammalia; Perissodactyla; Equidae. The record is from RNAcentral.